This 109-nucleotide ribosomal RNA is filed under the name Klebsiella pneumoniae. Its description in RNAcentral is "partial 23S ribosomal RNA". It matches the Rfam family "Bacterial large subunit ribosomal RNA", at positions 2806 to 2925 of the family's 2925-position model. The record is from RNAcentral. RNAcentral also lists the same sequence under 1 other name. Lineage: Bacteria; Pseudomonadati; Pseudomonadota; Gammaproteobacteria; Enterobacterales; Enterobacteriaceae.
UAUAAGUCUCCUGAAGGAACGUUGAAGACGACGACGUUGAUAGGCCGGGUGUGUAAGCGCAGCGAUGCGUUGAGCUAACCGGUACUAAUGAACCGUGAGGCUUAACCUU